AGAAGGACAUGUUUGCCUCCCCUUCUACCAUGAUUGUAAGUUUUCUGAGGCCUCCCCAGACCUGCAGAAUUCAAACGUUGGGUGGAUUAUACUCAUUUUCUUUUCUUGAGGUGAAUAAUUUUCUGAUGGCCUUGAACUGAAAACUGAUGUCCCAUCUGGAAGAAGAGUGCAAUAAUGCUUCCUGUCCCCCUAUUGUGACAUCGCUUUAAUCAUCACAUAUGUAACAGCACAUAGGCUACACACACCUAAGUGGCUGUUAUUUGCUAGUGUUCCUCAAGAUCUGUAACAUGAACAACUUAUAUAAGUGUCACCUGUGGAGCUUGCCAAAAAUGCUUAUUCCAGGAAACUAUCCAGGUCUUUAAAAAAAUAAAUAAAUGUAUGGGG
RNAcentral lists this long non-coding RNA (384 nucleotides) under Homo sapiens (human). RNAcentral's name for it is "HSALNT0335890". The record is from RNAcentral. Lineage: Eukaryota; Metazoa; Chordata; Mammalia; Primates; Hominidae.